Molecule: ribosomal RNA, 320 nt
Filed under: uncultured soil bacterium
Lineage: Bacteria
Description: bacterial SSU rRNA
Rfam family: Bacterial small subunit ribosomal RNA
Source: RNAcentral
AGAACGAACGCUGGCGGCAUGCCUAAUACAUGCAAGUCGAACGAAGGCUUCGGCCUUAGUGGCGCACGGGUGCGUAACGCGUGGGAAUCUGCCCCUUGGUUCGGAAUAACAGUUGGAAACGACUGCUAAUACCGGAUGAUGACGAAAGUCCAAAGGUUUAUCGCCAAGGGAUGAGCCCGCGUAGGAUUAGCUAGUUGGUGAGGUAAAGGCUCACCAAGGCGACGAUCCUUAGCUGGUCUGAGAGGAUGAUCAGCCACACUGGGACUGAGACACGGCCCAGACCUCCUACGGGAGGCAGCGAGUAGGGAAUAUUGGACAGU